CCUACGGGGGACAGCAGUGGGGAAUAUUGGGCAAUGGAGGCAACUCUUACCCAGCAAUGCCGCGUGAAUGAAGAAGGUCUUCGGAUUGUAAAGUUCUGUCAGCAGGGAAGAACGGUCACUGUGCUAAUCAGCAGUGAAUUGACGGUACCUGCAAAGGAAGCACCGGCUAACUCCGUGCCAGCAGCCGCGGUAAUACGGAGGGUGCGAGCGUUAAUCGGAAUUACUGGGCGUAAAGCGCUCGUAGGCGGUAUGUCAAGUCAAGGGUGAAAUCCCCGCGCUCAACGUGGGAACUGCCUUUGAAACUGGCAAACUGGAGUGUGUGAGAGGAUAGUGGAAUUCCAGGUGUAGGAGUGAAAUCCGUAGAUAUCUGGAGGAACAUCAGUGGCGAAGGCGACUAUCUGGCACAUAACUGACGCUGAGGAGCGAAAGCGUGGGUAGCAAACAGGAUUAGAUACCCGGGUAGUC
This 465-nucleotide ribosomal RNA is filed under the name uncultured bacterium. RNAcentral's name for it is "partial 16S ribosomal RNA". It matches the Rfam family "Bacterial small subunit ribosomal RNA", at positions 338 to 795 of the family's 1533-position model. The record is from RNAcentral.